Ictalurus punctatus (channel catfish) is the source of this 785-nucleotide long non-coding RNA. The record is from Ensembl. NCBI's taxonomy places the organism in Eukaryota, Metazoa, Chordata, Actinopteri, Siluriformes, Ictaluridae.
UAGAUAGAUAGAUAGAUAGACAGAUAGAUAGAUAGAUAGAUAGAUAGAUAGAUAGAUAGAUAGAUAGACAGAUAGAUAGAUAGAUAGACAGAUAGAUAGAUAGAUAGAUAGAUAGAUAGAUAGAUAGAUAGACAGAUAGAUAGAUAGAUAGACAGAUAGAUAGAUAGAUAGAUAGAUAGAUAGAUAGAUAGAUAGAUAGACAGACAGACAAGCAAACAUGUAAAUAAAUAAAUAAAUAAAUAAUGCUGAAUAUUGCAUGAAAUUAUCUACACUCUAAAAACAAAUGUUUAGGCUCAAAAAAAAUGAACACAACAGUUAAUUAUCGACAACUUGUAAUGAAAUUAUGUUCAACAAACAAGUUACAAUCAGUUGAGAGAAAUUACUUCUCCCUCUACAAUCAAAGGUAUUUCAAAUGAACGCUUCAUUGAUCAUUUUAGCAUAGACGAGUCGUUAAGUCGGUUACUCGUAAAAAUCGAGUUGUGCCAACGAGUUUUUUUCACAUCAUUUAAGAGGAAUUGUUAAGUGUUGUGUAUUUAAUUAUCAUAAUUGUGAAUUAUUGACAAUCGUUAAAAAAAAUUAAGUUGCUCCAAUUAGAUUUUCUUCAGUAGAUUUUUUUUUUUUUUAGCUUUUUCAUGUUUUUGUUCAUUUCGUAGCUUUUAAGAAGUUGAUUCAUUCAACAGUAAUAUUGCUGAACAACUAACUUUUUAUUUUAUUUCAUUUUGAACUGCAGUUGUGUAUUUAAACACACCAUAUUCAAGGACACAAUAAAUCUUGAAGAAUAAAAA